AAAUUACAGGAAAAAAAAUCCACUAAGUGUUUGUGUGUGUUAUAUAUUUAUCUAUUGUUGGUCUCAGCACAUCGAGGAGACUGACUCGACUCUGAUGGCGAGAUCGACAUAGCCGGAAAAAUUUGUAACAAAAGAGUUGGUUCGGACAGCGCGUGUUCUGUUUUUAUCUCAUCAACCGAAGUAAGAUCGUGAUUGGAAAUUUCUAUUGAAGGAAUAUCUAAACUUUCGUCGACCGGAGGGGAUUCUACUGGGCCGCGGAAUGACGGGUCUACUUCUAAGCUGAAACAGAUGUUAUCGUGAUCGUAUUCUGCCACGUGCGAUAUGGAAUUAACAUCGAAAUCGAUCGCGCUGCCUUCCGGGACAGGUUUACCGCCGAUUGACAAGUGGAUAUCGAACGCUUUCCAAAAAUCUGUUCCGAGGAUCAAGUCUUUCGACAAUUCCGGGAUGAUCGCGGUUGGAAUGACUUUCGUCUUAUUAUUGAACGUGAAGGGAAUGUACGCGAACCCGAUACAGAUUUAAUCGCUCGAGAAGAUCUACUGCGUUAGUCACCGUAAUAUUCGCUCCUGAAUCGAGAAGUCCUGUUAACCUUUCAUUGAGGAUUUCAACGGUUGCGUGCGGACAUCGUGAAGGGCUCGUAUUGACGUGGAAAACUCGAUUGAAAUAAUUGAAAUCAACUUGGGACGACGGCAGUACGUCCUGGGCCGUCCCGCCACCUAGUUUUUUGGACUACUUGGACGCCACGUAUGCUUAUUCGGACAAGUUUUCAACGUACAAUCCGGCUCACCGCACACGUAACAGAAGGUCGUACGUGGUUCUGGACAAUCCGUGUACCAGUGUCCAGUCUUCCUGCAGUUCCAACACGUGCUACGCUUGAUACCGUCCUGAUUAUCUUCUGGUGAGUUGUUCGAAUUCUCUCUUCUUAUGAAUUUCUUGUUCUUAAAUCUUUUAUCCCUGAAAAGUGCAUUCACUUCGUCAUCGUCUUCAAAUUCAUUUUCCUCAUCAUCCAAUUCAGAGCAGCUGAUCUGAUUUAUUGGAUGAGAAUUGUGGAUCGUCGAUUGGUUAAUCGCAGGGUGAAGAUUUGGUUCCAAACAGUCAAAGCUGUGACAACAAUCGGUUAGUUGUUCCAAAGUGUAAAUUGGGAUCAACAAUAAGCGUCUCUUAUAUGAGAUUUUUGUAUUUUGGUAAAUUAAUUUAAGUUUUUGCCUUUCAUCAAUUUUGUAUGAUAACUCCUGGAAUAACCUUUCCAUAUCUUGCAAGUAUGUCUUAAAUCGCUCGUUUCCACGAUGUUUGCGACUCUUAAUGGCGUCUUCGACCGCCUCGUCCUUGUUGGGAUGUUCAAAGUCCAACUUCAAAUAGUAAAUAAGGUGAUCCCAAGUUGAAAAUUUUUCCCAGUACGUGAAAUACCAACGUCUGGCUUCCCCUGUGAAAAACACAUGAGACUGUUGAAGCAAUUGUUCGUUAGAAACUUGGUUUGAAUAUGCCAGUAUUGAGACUUGUCUUACAAAAUCUCCAACUGAUAGCGAUCUUGGUCCUGGUUCACCACUGUAAUGUAUUUGCCACCUUUCUAGUUUUGUUUUCAACGGGUUGUUGUAGUUUUGUUCAUUGAAUCUGGGAUUAUUUGGGACAUUUUGGGUGUUUGGGAAAUUGGGGUUGUUAGGGAUGUUCACGUUGUUUGGGAUGUUAUUACUUAAUAACGGAAAACUACUCUGAGGGUUAUUUACACUGUUUGGGGCAUUCUGGGCGUUAGGGAUGUUUGGGUUGUUAGGGAUAUUAUUACUCAAGAAUGGAAAAUUACUCUGUGGGUUAUUAACACUGGUUGGGGCAUUCUGGGCGUUAGGGAUGUUCGGGUUGUUAGGGAUAUUAUUACUCAAGAAUGGAAAAUUACUCUGUGGGUUA
Long non-coding RNA from Culex pipiens pallens (northern house mosquito), 1896 nucleotides. RefSeq lists it as uncharacterized. The record is from RefSeq and is a predicted model, not a curated record. Lineage: Eukaryota; Metazoa; Arthropoda; Insecta; Diptera; Culicidae. The transcript has 3 exons.